GCCCGGGUGGCGGAAUUGGUAGACGCGCUGGUCUCAAACACCAGUAGGUUCACCCCUGUGUCGGUUCGAACCCGACCCCGGGUACCA
RNAcentral lists this transfer RNA (87 nucleotides) under Prevotellaceae bacterium. RNAcentral's name for it is "tRNA-Leu". It matches the Rfam family "tRNA". Rfam says of the family: Transfer RNA (tRNA) molecules are approximately 80 nucleotides in length. Their secondary structure includes four short double-helical elements and three loops (D, anti-codon, and T loops). Further hydrogen bonds mediate the characteristic L-shaped molecular structure. tRNAs have two regions of fundamental functional importance: the anti-codon, which is responsible for specific mRNA codon recognition, and the 3' end, to which the tRNAs corresponding amino acid is attached (by aminoacyl-tRNA synthetases). tRNAs cope with the degeneracy of the genetic code in two manners: having more than one tRNA (with a specific anti-codon) for a particular amino acid; and 'wobble' base-pairing, i.e. permitting non-standard base-pairing at the 3rd anti-codon position. Lineage: Bacteria; Pseudomonadati; Bacteroidota; Bacteroidia; Bacteroidales; Prevotellaceae. The record is from RNAcentral.